RNAcentral lists this ribosomal RNA (406 nucleotides) under uncultured bacterium. RNAcentral describes it as "partial 16S ribosomal RNA". It matches the Rfam family "Bacterial small subunit ribosomal RNA", at positions 29 to 526 of the family's 1533-position model. The record is from RNAcentral.
AUUGAACGCUGGCGGCAGGCCUAACACAUGCAAGUCGAACGAGUGGCGGACGGGUGAGUAAUGUCUGGGAAACUGCCUGAUGGAGGGGGAUAACUACUGGAAACGGUAGCUAAUACCGCAUACCAUCAGAUGUGCCCAGGUGGGAUGAGCUUGUUGGUGGGGUAACGGCUCACCAAGGCGACGAUCCCUAGCUGGUCUGAGAGGAUGACCGCCUAGACGGGAACUGAGACCCGUUCCAGACUCCUCGGGGGGGCAGCGGUGGGAAAUAUUGCACAAGGGGGGCAAGCCUGAUGCAGCACUGCCGGGGGUAUGAUGAGGGCCUUCGGGUUGUAAAGUACUUUCGGCGGGGAGGCGGUACCCGAAGAAGAAGCACCGGCUAACUCCGUGCCAGCCGCCGCGGUAAUUC